GAGUUUGAUCCUGGCUCAGGACGAACGCUGGCGGCGUGCCUAAUACAUGCAAGUCGAACGAACUCUGGUAUUGAUUGGUGCUUGCAUCAUGAUUUACAUUUGAGUGAGUGGCGAACUGGUGAGUAACACGUGGGAAACCUGCCCAGAAGCGGGGGAUAACACCUGGAAACAGAUGCUAAUACCGCAUAACAACUUGGACCGCAUGGUCCGAGUUUGAAAGAUGGCUUCGGCUAUCACUUUUGGAUGGUCCCGCGGCGUAUUAGCUAGAUGGUGAGGUAACGGCUCACCAUGGCAAUGAUACGUAGCCGACCUGAGAGGGUAAUCGGCCACAUUGGGACUGAGACACGGCCCAAACUCCUACGGGAGGCAGCAGUAGGGAAUCUUCCACAAUGGACGAAAGUCUGAUGGAGCAACGCCGCGUGAGUGAAGAAGGGUUUCGGCUCGUAAAACUCUGUUGUUAAAGAAGAACAUAUCUGAGAGUAACUGUUCAGGUAUUGACGGUAUUUAACCAGAAAGUCACGGCUAACUACGUGCCAGCAGCCGCGGUAAUACGUAGGUGGCAAGCGUUGUCCGGAUUUAUUGGGCGUAAAGCGAGCGCAGGCGGUUUUUUAAGUCUGAUGUGAAAGCCUUCGGCUCAACCGAAGAAGUGCAUCGGAAACUGGGAAACUUGAGUGCAGAAGAGGACAGUGGAACUCCAUGUGUAGCGGUGAAAUGCGUAGAUAUAUGGAAGAACACCAGUGGCGAAGGCGGCUGUCUGGUCUGUAACUGACGCUGAGGCUCGAAAGUAUGGGUAGCAAACAGGAUUAGAUACCCUGGUAGUCCAUACCGUAAACGAUGAAUGCUAAGUGUUGGAGGGUUUCCGCCCUUCAGUGCUGCAGCUAACGCAUUAAGCAUUCCGCCUGGGGAGUACGGCCGCAAGGCUGAAACUCAAAGGAAUUGACGGGGGCCCGCACAAGCGGUGGAGCAUGUGGUUUAAUUCGAAGCUACGCGAAGAACCUUACCAGGUCUUGACAUACUAUGCAAAUCUAAGAGAUUAGACGUUCCCUUCGGGGACAUGGAUACAGGCGGUGCAUGGUUGUCGUCAGCUCGUGUCGUGAGAUGUUGGGUUAAGUCCCGCAACGAGCGCAACCCUUAUUAUCAGUUGCCAGCAUUAAGUUGGGCACUCUGGUGAGACUGCCGGUGACAAACCGGAGGAAGGUGGGGAUGACGUCAAAUCAUCAUGCCCCUUAUGACCUGGGCUACACACGUGCUACAAUGGAUGGUACAACGAGUUGCGAACUCGCGAGAGUAAGCUAAUCUCUUAAAGCCAUUCUCAGUUCGGAUUGUAGGCUGCAACUCGCCUACAUGAAGUCGGAAUCGCUAGUAAUCGCGGAUCAGCAUGCCGCGGUGAAUACGUUCCCGGGCCUUGUACACACCGCCCGUCACACCAUGAGAGUUUGUAACACCCAAAGUCGGUGGGGUAACCUUUUAGGAACCAGCCGCCUAAGGUGGGACAGAUGAUUAGGGUGAAGUCGUAACAAGGUAGCCGUAG
RNAcentral lists this ribosomal RNA (1531 nucleotides) under Lactiplantibacillus pentosus. Its description in RNAcentral is "bacterial SSU rRNA". It matches the Rfam family "Bacterial small subunit ribosomal RNA". Lineage: Bacteria; Bacillati; Bacillota; Bacilli; Lactobacillales; Lactobacillaceae. The record is from RNAcentral.